GAUGAACGCUGGCGGCGUGCCUAAUACAUGCAAGUCGAGCGAACAGAUGAGGAGCUUGCUCCUCUGACGUUAGCGGCGGACGGGUGAGUAACACGUGGAUAACCUACCUAUAAGACUGGGAUAACUUCGGGAAACCGGAGCUAAUACCGGAUAAUAUAUUGAACCGCAUGGUUCAAUAGUGAAAGACGGUUUUGCUGUCACUUAUAGAUGGAUCCGCGCCGCAUUAGCUAGUUGGUAAGGUAACGGCUUACCAAGGCAACGAUGCGUAGCCGACCUGAGAGGGGGAUCGGCCACACUGGAACUGAGACACGGUCCAGACUCCUACGGGAGGCAGCAGUAGGGAAUCUUCCGCAAUGGGCGAAAGCUUGACGGAGCAACGCCGCGUGAGUGAUGAAGGUCUUCGGAUCGUAAAACUCUGUUAUUAGGGAAGAACAAAUGUGUAAGUAACUAUGCACGUCUUGACGGUACCUAAUCAGAAAGCCACGGCUAACUACGUG
Molecule: ribosomal RNA, 497 nt
Filed under: uncultured bacterium
Lineage: Bacteria
Description: partial 16S ribosomal RNA
Rfam family: Bacterial small subunit ribosomal RNA
Source: RNAcentral